RNAcentral lists this long non-coding RNA (5057 nucleotides) under Canis lupus familiaris (dog). RNAcentral's name for it is "lncRNA (ENSCAFG00000056914.1)". Lineage: Eukaryota; Metazoa; Chordata; Mammalia; Carnivora; Canidae. The record is from RNAcentral.
AUCUGAAUGAAGUUAGAUACUAUUCUUACUCCAGAGCACUUGAUCAAAGUUUUGUUUUCUGUUUUUUUUUUUUUAAGAUUUUACUUAUUUAUUCAUGAGAGAGAGAGAGAAAGGCAGAGGGAGAAGCAGGCUCCAAGUGGAGCAGAGAGCCCAAUGUGGGACUCUAUCCCAGGACCCUGGGAUCAUGACUGAGCCACUUAGGCAUCCCUUGAUCGAAGUUUUUAAUUAAGCAUUUUUGUGCAUGUGAUUAUUUGAUAAAUACCCAUCGUAUCUACUGGACUAUAAAUACUAUAACUUGCAUCCCUAACUGGCUAUGUACACACUGUGUUCCUGCUGCUUAACGUGGCCUGUACCACAAGCAUAUGAUUUUAUAAAAGAAUUACUCUAAUGCAGAGGAUUGUAACUUAAGAAUUUCACAAAUGGGAUUUGGGGUUAGGGGUUAUCUAUAAAACCCCUGAAGUUGUGUAGAAUUUUGAGAAUAUAUAUCUUAUGUUUUCCUGGGAAUAGAAUCUAUAGUUUUCAGUUCAUUAAAGGCUAUAUCACAUCAUGCCUUAGUUCUUACUUACUUGCCUGCACCAAGUACAUAACAUUAGUACUGGAAUGGUAUUGUUGUGCAAGAUAGAAAGUGAUUUCCACACAUUCCAAGAAAGCAACGGUAGUUAGGGCCCAAGCGUUUUUUAAGAAUGGAAGAAAACAAGACAUCAUAGGCCUUCGUUUUGGAAGGCUUUAGCAAUGUGCACAAACCCUGACUUAAGGAAUAGUUUUCCAGUUUCAGAUAUGUAUUUUUCGAUUUCCAGAAAUGAGUCAACUUGAAUAUCAGUGCAUAAACACAGGAGGUUAGCUAGCAGAAGGCGUAAAUAAAUGUCUCCAUGGCCUAUAGUCAAAGGGAAUGAUUUUUUAGAUAUUUUUUCUCAGAAGUUCAAAAUGACUUGCUAAUAUUCUUAGCAAAAUAAUUUGUAAAUAUUGCCCCAAUUACAGUUGGACCAUUAGCCCCCUACUAUUUUCUAAUGUGCUGUUUAACCUUACGUAAGAAUACAUAAUGUGCUUUCUAGUUUUGAACAAAGACAUCUGCUUUGAUUUAAUAACAUCACCUCAUAUUUAUAUUGCAUCUUCCUGUAGGAAGCCUAAAAUGCUUCAUAGUUGUGAUUGCCUAAAUUCUUACAACGUUGCUUGUAAAUUAGUGCAUUUUUAGAUGGAGGAACUGAGGCAGAGUUGCACAAUUAUGUCUGGAAAUUGCAAGUAGAAUCUGAGUCAGUCUUUAAUUCAGCAAGAUUAUAUUUUCUUUUGGAUAAUCUCUUCAGGCAUCUAAUUAUUUCACCAAAUUUUAUUAAGCACCUAUAGAGUUUAAGCCACAGUGUAUUCAAAGAUGAGACCUCAUUCCUGAUUAACAAAAUAUCAGACCUUCCCUCCUUUCCUUUCUGGUCAGAAUUCACUUCUUCCUUCUCCAUUAUCCAAAACACAUUGAAUUACUAAUCACGUUCUUUAAUUUGUCUUGAAUUUGAGCAAAAUUUGUGGUUAGUAACAUGGUCAGUAUGACAAUUUUAAUUAAUCCCGUUGGUCUUUUUCAUCAUUGCGGCCCAGCUAUAACUACCAUCAGUAGGAUCAUAGUAGAUGAAACAGUAGACCUAAAAGACACCUUUAAGAUGAUUUUGGGGUACAUGCUUUGAUUUAAUGGAUAGGAGAACUGAGAUUCAAUAAGACUAAUUGACUUGCCCAAGAUCCCAUCAUGGCAAAACCAACCAAUGUCUUUUUUAAACAUUGAGGAUAUUUUUAUAUGUAUAUUUAUGCAUACAUAUAACGAUGAAAUUUGCCUGCUUCAACAGAUAUGCUUAUUGGUUUACUAGUAGAGCUUCAACAACUGGUCCUGUCUGAUAAUAUUUGCCAAUUUCCAUGGUAUAAAUAAUCCCAUCAUGGCUGAUUUAAUCUAGGAACACUUUAACAACUGGCUCACAAAAUUUCUGAAAAUUUAAUAAUUAGAUUGCUAUGAACCAGCUCUGGCAUGCUACUAGAUGUGCCCCUGAAAUCAUACAUUUACUAUUAAAACAUUAUAUCAUUUUCUUAUUCUGGUUAUCCAUUCAGAGACACUCUACCUGAUUUUCUGAUUAAUAUUUUCAGGGGAAAUAAAUUAUUCUUUACACGUCAGCUUUAACCUUCACUUUCAGGAUUUUUUUGUUUUUUGUUUUUGUAGGAUUUUUUUUUUUUAAGUAUUUAAUGACUUGAUAAGUACUUAAAACUAUUUGCAAGGUCUGUCUCAAGAGAACUUUGCAUGAACCCUUGAAUAUCAGUUACCUAUUUGCUAAGUUACAAGUCACCCCAAAUACUUAUUAGCUUAAAACCAUAACCCUAUAUUUAGUUUACAGUUUUGGGUAAAUCUUGUCUAGUCAGGCCUGGCUUGUUCACACAUGGCUUCAGGAUUUUCAAGGGUACAAGAUGGGAAACUGUAAGGUCCCUUAAGGCCUAGACUUCAAACUGAACAACAUUACUUCCACAAGUCCAUCCCAGGUUCAGGGAGUGGGGAAGUAGACCCUAACUUUUGAAGGAAGAAACAACAGAUACUGUGGCCAUUCCAUUCCUUUACUGAUUUUGGGGAGUGUUUAGAUUGUUAUAUCUAUGAGACAGAGCUGAAUGCACAGAUAUGAUUGGCCCUCAGUCAAAAGUUGAUUAGAGUUUCUUUUCCAAUGUUAAAAGAAAUUCAUAACCUUUACUUAUAAACCAUCUCUACUUGAUAAUAUACUCAGUAAUUGACAAUUUCCUUAUCAGUUUAAUUCAUAUAUUUUAACAGUGUCUCUUCUGCACAUACUAACUAGUUAGUAAGAAUUGAGGUGGAGGAAGAGCUAAAUAAUAAGGCAGUAUGCCUGCCUAACAAUUGGAGACCAAGAUAAGACAUUAAGUAAUCAAUUGAUAAAUUUUAUACCAUCAUUCAAGUUCAGGAAAAGAAGCAGUCACUGGAGAUUAUAUUAGUUGGGAAAGAGUUCUUCAUAGAGAACCAUUUUUUAAAUCUACUCUGUUGAGGUAUAAUUUAUAUACAUUAAAUGCACACAUUUUAAAUGUGUGGCUUGAUGACCUUUAACAAAUAUACAUUCAUGUAACUAUCAUCAUAAUCAAGAUAGAAAACAUUUUUAUCUUUCCCCAAAAUUAUCUCAUGUCCCUUUUGCUGUCAAUUUUCCCCAAUUCCUGGGCCUAGACAUAGUGAUAAGUGCAAAACCAAAAGAUGGCUUUCAAAGAAAGUUUAGUGAAUUUAAAAAUCUGAAAAAAAGCGGACAUUCAAUUUUAUAAAUAAACUAAUGCUUUAUAGGCUCUUUAUAAAGUAAGCAACUUUAGCUUGUUAAAACUAAUAUGUACGUAUGUCAUUUUCAAGGCAUUAGUGAAAAACUGCAUCAGAAAUUCUUAAUGUUGGGAGAAUCUGUGGCAAAAAAGGUAGUUUGUCACUUAUCAACAACCUAACAACUUGAAAUAUUUGAGUAGAUUAACUCAUAGAAUGAAUAAAGCUAAUUAUUUUUCUCUGCAACCUUAUUGAUGGAUAUGAGUGUACAGCUGUUGCUAAUAUGGCAAUUCUUUUAGUUUGUGUGCUUUUGGAAUAUGAUAGUAAUAUGAAGGACGAAUUCUUUUUUCAGCUUCAUUGCUGAUAAACAUAAUUAACUCUAAACAACAGAAAGCUCUGAAAAAUUAUAUUGUCAAUGAACAUGGCUUGAGGUUUUGUAUAAGAAUACAAUUGGCUAUGUAGUGGCAACGACAAGAAAACGUUCUGGAGUAGUUACCGAAAUUAAGGACCUUGACCCAGAACAAGUGGUAUGUUCACUUCUUCUUUGAGAAAGUCUUGGUCAACUGAACUAAACAGUGUGCUUAGUAACUUGGUGAAGAUAAUAAAUUAUGUAAAGACUAAUGCAUUAAAUUCAAGAUUAUUCUUUUUUUACUAUAUGAUAAUAUGGAAGACAAUCAUAACUGUGAUGGCAUACUGAGAUAUGAUGAUAAUCUAGCAGGAGAGUUCUUUUGAGCAUAUUAGCAUCACUGCAAGAGACCAGUUUGGUCUCAAAAUGUAAAUUGGCCAACUAGAGUUAUUAAUUUUUUUGAUAUCUUCAGAAUUCUUCCAUGCGAGGCAGAAUGCAACAUGUUUUUCAAUGGCAGAUUAAAUUGAAGAGGACAGCAAAAGGUAGAAGUUUGGAAUAAUAGGAUUUCUAUAGACUGUUAUUACAUGUUCCAUAAUUUAACAAUUCCCAAUGAAGUAGGUGAUUAUCUUAUCAAACCCUUAUGAAUCUGAUAGAAUGCUUUGAAUUUUAUUUUCCAUUAAAAGAAUGUCUAGAUACAGCCAAUUCAUGAAUAUAGAAUCUUUUUAUUUCAUCUAAAAAAAUUGAUUUAAACUUAAUUAUAAACUUACAGGGUACUUUGUUCUAACUGGCAAGUAGUAAAGAAUUGAAAAUGAAUUUUGAAAAUAGUGCAUCACUCAUUCACUUCAUUUUGAUGAAUUUUUUUUUAAGAUUUUAUUUAUUCAUGAGAGAGAAAGAGAGAGGCAGAGACACAGGGAGAGGGAGAAGCAGGAACCAUGCAGGGAGCCUGAUGUGGGACUCGAUCCUGGGUCUCCAGGAUCACGCCCUGGGCUGAAGGUGGUGCUAAACCACUGAGCCACCCAAGCUGCCCCAUUCACUUCAUUUUGGACAAAGUUAAAAAUGAAUAGUCUGAGCAUGCGGAAAUUAUUUUAAAACCUCUUUUUUCCAUUUUCAUCAUCAUCCCUUUGUAAAUACAGUUCUUUCUUAUGAAUGAUAUUAAAGCAACACAUAGAAGCAGUUUACAUAUACAUAAUUCCCUGAAAGUAGUAUUGUCAAUCCAACCUGGGUUAGAUAUUUUAAUAAGAAAUACACUACUUGGUUAGCCCGGGUGGCUCAGUGGUUUAGUGCUGCCUUCAGCCCGGGGUGUGGUCUUUGGUUCAGUUCUGGAGACCCGGGAUCCAGCCCAUGUCAGGCUCCCUGCAUGGAAUGGAGCCUGCUUCUCCCUCUGCCUAUGUCUCUGCCUCUCUGUGUCUCUCAUGAAUAAAUAAAUAAAAUCUUAAAAAAAAAAAAAAA